Molecule: transfer RNA, 72 nt
Filed under: Bos taurus (domestic cattle)
Lineage: Eukaryota; Metazoa; Chordata; Mammalia; Artiodactyla; Bovidae
Also listed under: 5 other names
Rfam family: tRNA
About the family: Transfer RNA (tRNA) molecules are approximately 80 nucleotides in length. Their secondary structure includes four short double-helical elements and three loops (D, anti-codon, and T loops). Further hydrogen bonds mediate the characteristic L-shaped molecular structure. tRNAs have two regions of fundamental functional importance: the anti-codon, which is responsible for specific mRNA codon recognition, and the 3' end, to which the tRNAs corresponding amino acid is attached (by aminoacyl-tRNA synthetases). tRNAs cope with the degeneracy of the genetic code in two manners: having more than one tRNA (with a specific anti-codon) for a particular amino acid; and 'wobble' base-pairing, i.e. permitting non-standard base-pairing at the 3rd anti-codon position.
Source: Rfam by way of RNAcentral
UCCCUUAUGGCUCAGAUGGUAAAGAAUCUGCUUGCAAUGCAGGAGACCUAGGUUUGAUCCCUGGGUUGGGAA